GACGAACGCUGGCGGCGUGCCUAAUACAUGCAAGUAGAACGCUGAAGAGAGGAGCUUGCUCUUCUUGGAUGAGUUGCGAACGGGUGAGUAACGCGUAGGUAACCUGCCUGGUAGCGGGGGAUAACUAUUGGAAACGAUAGCUAAUACCGCAUAAAAUUGAUUAUUGCAUGAUAAUUAAUUGAAAGAUGCAACUGCAUCACUACCAGAUGGACCUGCGUUGUAUUAGCUAGUUGGUGAGGUAACGGCUCACCAAGGCGACGAUACAUAGCCGACCUGAGAGGGUGAUCGGCCACACUGGGACUGAGACACGGCCCAGACUCCUACGGGAGGCAGCAGUAGGGAAUCUUCGGCAAUGGGGGGAACCCUGACCGAGCAACGCCGCGUGAGUGAAGAAGGUUUUCGGAUCGUAAAGCUCUGUUGUAAGAGAAGAACGGGUGUGAGAGUGGAAAGUUCACACUGUGACGGUAUCUUACCAGAAAGGGACGGCUAACUACGUGCCAGCAGCCGCGGUAAUACGUAGGUCCCGAGCGUUGUCCGGAUUUAUUGGGCGUAAAGCGAGCGCAGGCGGUUAGAUAAGUCUGAAGUUAAAGGCUGUGGCUUAACCAUAGUAUGCUUUGGAAACUGUUUAACUUGAGUGCAGAAGGGGAGAGUGGAAUUCCAUGUGUAGCGGUGAAAUGCGUAGAUAUAUGGAGGAACACCGGUGGCGAAAGCGGCUCUCUGGUCUGUAACUGACGCUGAGGCUCGAAAGCGUGGGGAGCAAACAGGAUUAGAUACCCUGGUAGUCCACGCCGUAAACGAUGAGUGCUAGGUGUUAGGCCCUUUCCGGGGCUUAGUGCCGCAGCUAACGCAUUAAGCACUCCGCCUGGGGAGUACGACCGCAAGGUUGAAACUCAAAGGAAUUGACGGGGGCCCGCACAGGCGGUGGAGCAUGUGGUUUAAUUCGAAGCAACGCGAAGAACCUUACCAGGUCUUGACAUCCCUUUGACCGCUCUAGAGAUAGAGUUUUCCUUCGGGACAGAGGUGACAGGUGGUGCAUGGUUGUCGUCAGCUCGUGUCGUGAGAUGUUGGGUUAAGUCCCGCAACGAGCGCAACCCCUAUUGUUAGUUGCCAUCAUUGAGUUGGGCACUCUAGCGAGACUGCCGGUAAUAAACCGGAGGAAGGUGGGGAUGACGUCAAAUCAUCAUGCCCCUUAUGACCUGGGCUACACACGUGCUACAAUGGCUGGUACAACGAGUCGCAAGCCGGUGACGGCAAGCUAAUCUCUGAAAGCCAGUCUCAGUUCGGAUUGUAGGCUGCAACUCGCCUACAUGAAGUCGGAAUCGCUAGUAAUCGCGGAUCAGCACGCCGCGGUGAAUACGUUCCCGGGCCU
Molecule: ribosomal RNA, 1369 nt
Filed under: uncultured bacterium
Lineage: Bacteria
Description: bacterial SSU rRNA
Rfam family: Bacterial small subunit ribosomal RNA
Source: RNAcentral